UGCAGUCGAGCGGUAGCACAGAGAGCUUGCUCUCGUGUGACGAGCGGCGGACGGGUGAGUAAUGUCUGGGAAACUGCCUGAUGGAGGGGGAUAACUACUGGAAACGGUAACUCAUACCGCACAACGUCGCUAGACCAAAGAGGGGGACCUUCGGGCCUCUUGCCAUCAGAUGUGCCCAGAUGGGAUUAGCUAGUAUGUGGGGUAACGGCUCACCUAGGCGACGAUACCUAGCUGGUCUGAGAGGAUGACCAGCCACACUGGAACUGAGACACGGUCCAGACUCCUACAGGAGGCAGCAGUGGGGAAUAUUGCACAAUGGGCGCAAGCCUGAUGCAGCCAUGCCGCGCGUAUGAAGAAGGCCUUCGGGUUGUAAAGUACUUUCAGCGGGGAGGAAAGUGUUGUGGUUAAUAACCACGGCAAUUGACGUUACCCGCAGAAGAAGCACCGGCUAACUCCGUGCCAGCAGCCGCGGUAAUACGGAGGGUGCAAGCGUUAAUCGGAAUUACUGGGCGUAAAGCGCACGCAGGCGGUCUGUCAAGUCUGAUGUGAAAUCCCCGGGCUCAACCUGGGAACUGCAUUCGAAACUGGCAGGCUAUAGUCUUGUAGAGGGGGGUAGAAUUCCUCGUGUAGCGGUGAAAUGCGUAGAGAUCUGGAGGAAUACCGGUGGCGAAGGCGGCCCCCUGGACAAAGACUGACGCUCAUGUGCGAAAACGUGGGGAGCAGACAGGAUUAUAUACCCUGGUAGUCCACGCUGUACACGAUGUCGACUUGUAGGUUGUGCCCUUGAGGCGUGGCUUCCGGAGCUAACGCGUUAAUUCGACCGCCUGGGGAGUACGGCCGCAGGAUGACACUCAAAUGAAUUGACUGGGGGCCGCACAAACGGUGGAGCAUGUGGGUUAAUUCGAUGCAACGCCGAGAACCUUACCUACUCUUGACAUCCUCAGAACUUUGCUUAAAUGCAUUGGUGGCUUCCUGGAACCCUUAAAAAAGUGCUGCUUGGCUGUCGUCAACUCCUGUUGUGAAAU
RNAcentral lists this ribosomal RNA (1025 nucleotides) under Enterobacter sp. RNAcentral describes it as "bacterial SSU rRNA". It matches the Rfam family "Bacterial small subunit ribosomal RNA", at positions 56 to 1073 of the family's 1533-position model. Lineage: Bacteria; Pseudomonadati; Pseudomonadota; Gammaproteobacteria; Enterobacterales; Enterobacteriaceae. The record is from RNAcentral.